GAUGAACGCUGGCGGCGUGCCUAAUACAUGCAAGUCGAACGCUGGAAAUCUAGCUUGCUAGAUUGAAGGAGUGGCGAACGGGUGAGUAAUACAUAAGCAACCUACCCACGAAGACUGGGAUAAUCUCUGGAAACGGGGACUAAUACCGGAUAGGUAAUCGGAAGGCAUCUUCUGAUUAUUAAAGGUUAAAAACACUGGUGGAUGGGCUUAUGGCGCAUUAGUUAGUUGGCGAGGUAACGGCCCACCAAGACGAUGAUGCGUAGCCGGCCUGAGAGGGUGAACGGCCACAUUGGGACUGAGACACGGCCCAGACUCCUACGGGAGGCAGCAGUAGGGAAUUUUCGGCAAUGGGGGAAACCCUGACCGAGCAACGCCGCGUGAGUGAUGACGGCCUUCGGGUUGUAAAGCUCUGUUGUAAGGGAAGAACGGUAGAUAGAGAAUAUCUAAAUGACGGUACCUUACCAGAAAGCCACGGCUAACUACGUG
Molecule: ribosomal RNA, 486 nt
Filed under: uncultured bacterium
Lineage: Bacteria
Description: partial 16S ribosomal RNA
Rfam family: Bacterial small subunit ribosomal RNA
Source: RNAcentral